RNAcentral lists this ribosomal RNA (216 nucleotides) under Glomeromycotina sp. Its description in RNAcentral is "partial small subunit ribosomal RNA". The stretch from base 40 to 216 matches the Rfam family "Eukaryotic small subunit ribosomal RNA", at positions 686 to 864 of the family's 1831-position model. Lineage: Eukaryota; Fungi; Glomeromycota. The record is from RNAcentral.
GGGUCAGUAGGUUGGUCGUGCCACCGGUACGUACUGGUCUCACUGAUUCCUCCUUCCUGAAGAACCGUAAUGCCAUUAAUUUGGUGUUGCGGGCAAACAGGACUGUUACUUUGAAAAAAUUAGAGUGUUUAAAGCAAGCUAACGCUUGAAUACAUUAGCAUGGAAUAAUGAAAUAGGACGAUCGAUCCUAUUUUGUUGGUUUCUAGGAUUGACGUA